AUUGAACGCUGGCGGCAGGCCUAACACAUGCAAGUCGAGCGGAUAGGGAGCUUUUGCUUGGGGUCUGCGGCGGACGGGGGAGUAAUGUCCAUGAAUCUUCGUGGUAGUGGGGGGUAACGUGUGCGAACACGCGCUCUUACCCCACACGCCCUGAGUGAGAGAGAGGGGGGUCUCCGGAGCCCACGCUAUCAGAUGAGCCUAGGUCGGAUUAGCUAGUUGGUGGGGUAUAGGCGUACCAAGGCGACGAUCCGUAACAGGUCUGAGAGGAUGAUCAGUCACACUGGAACUGAGACACGGUCCAGACUCCUACGGGAGGCAGCAGUGGGGAAUAUUGGACGAUGGGCGAAAGCCUGAUCCAGCCAUGCCGCGUGUGUGAAGAAGGUCUUCGGAUUGUAAAGCACUUUAAGUUGGGAGGAAGGGCAGUAAGUUAAUACCUUGCUGUUUUGACGUUACCAACAGAAUAAGCACCGGCUAACUUCGUG
RNAcentral lists this ribosomal RNA (482 nucleotides) under uncultured bacterium. RNAcentral's name for it is "partial 16S ribosomal RNA". It matches the Rfam family "Bacterial small subunit ribosomal RNA", at positions 30 to 507 of the family's 1533-position model. The record is from RNAcentral.